GGUGAAGAACGUAGCAAAAUGCGAUAAGUAAUGUGAAUUGCAGAAUUCAGUGAAUCAUCGAAUCUUUGAACGCACAUUGCGCCCGCCAGUAUUCUGGCGGGCAUGCCUGUUCGAGCGUCAUUUCAACCCUCAAGCCCUCGGGUUUGGUGUUGGGGAUCGGCGAGCCUUUCUGGCAAGCCGGCCCCGAAAUCUAGUGGCGGUCUCGCUGCAGCCUCCAUUGCGUAGUAGUAAAACCCUCGCAACUGGAACGCGGCGCGGCCAAGCCGUUAAACCCCCAACUUCUGAAUGUUGACCUCGGAUCAGGUAGGAAUACCCGCUGAACUUAAGCAUAUCAAUAAGCGGAGGA
This 346-nucleotide unclassified non-coding RNA is filed under the name soil metagenome. RNAcentral's name for it is "partial contains 5.8S ribosomal RNA, internal transcribed spacer 2, and large subunit ribosomal RNA". The stretch from base 3 to 120 matches the Rfam family "5.8S ribosomal RNA", at positions 37 to 154 of the family's 154-position model. The record is from RNAcentral.